CCCAUCCAAUUAAACUUAGUCAUUUGAUUAUAGUUCCUCUUUAAGGAAGAGGCAGCUUUUCAAAAGGGGCUUGAGGAGGAGCUUCUCAUUGAACUCAGUGGCUUUCACAGAGACUGGGUGCUAAUCACUCUGAAGCCUGCAUUCUAUAGAGCUGACUGAAAAAUAGGAAAAGCUGGGUUCAAUCGAUUACAUGGUAAUCUCCAGCGACUCACCGGAGGGAUCUACCAAGUGUCUCCUAUAAACAUUUCAGCAUAAAUUUUGACUCUUCACAAGAUUAAGACGUGUUCUUCUCUUCAGUGAAUUGUUCGACCACUCCGGAAGAUAAAGUAUUUAUUUAUAGGAGGAUAGCUCCGAAACAAAACUGGUGUAGCAGCAACAUUUUAAAAAGUGUUUUUUAUGUAUGUACAAAUCACAUUGUGAAAACCUAUUUUCGGGAAGAUAAUAAAAGACAUUCUGGAAGCAGAUAAUUUUCUUUAAUGAGUUUUUUUUCUAAUUGUAUCUAGAC
Rhineura floridana is the source of this 505-nucleotide long non-coding RNA. RefSeq lists it as uncharacterized. The record is from RefSeq and is a predicted model, not a curated record. Lineage: Eukaryota; Metazoa; Chordata; Lepidosauria; Squamata; Rhineuridae. The transcript is spliced from 3 exons.